GAAAAGAAAUAUACUGGAACAAUAUGUUACGAAGACAAAUGUAGUGCUAUUUUUGUCAAUAUCAUACAACUUACUUUUCUACCUGCGCUGGUUAUAGCCUUUUAUUACGGUGAACCGGAUCAACCAAUAAAAACACACAGGCCCAUAAAAUGAACACAGAAGACACGGCGGCCGCCACUGCUACCGGCGUCGUGGUGGUGGAGUUGCCACUAGGAGAUGCCGCAGCCACAUUUAAUCUCGAGAAAGCUGUAUGCAGCCAUGGGCUUUUCAUGAUGGCCCCCAACCAUUGGGACCCACAGUCCAAGACUCUCCAGCGGCCCCUCCGCCUCAAUCUCGAUCCCCAUCACGAGGACCAUGAAGCUUCACUCAUGGUGCAAAUCUCUCACCCUAUUGACUCCCCUCACGCGCUUCGACUCUGCGUAUUUGACACCAGCUCUCUCACCCCUCAACACCAACACUCACUGCUGGUAGGCACUUCUUUAUUUUUUAUUUUUAUUUUUAUUUUUAUUUUCUGUACUUAAUGUUCUUGAAAGGUUUGAUUCUUAACGCAUAGUGUUGUGCUUGAUGUUGAUACUUUUGGGUUUAGCUUAUUUUUCCACUUAAGUUCUUGAAGAGUAUACAAAUUAUUUUUGUCCGGGUACAAUUUUUGGUGCAUAAUGUACUGCACCAUACUUGAUGGUUGGUGCAGUUUCAUAUAGUUUUUGGAUUCACAAUGCAAUUUUUGAACUUUUUAAUAAAUUUUCUAGAUGUCGUGCCUGUUUUCACAUAUCUUCCUUUCGCACUGAUAUGUGUUUUUAUGAGCUGUAUGUUGCUAUCUUGUUUGCAUUUGGAAAUACUAGUCAUAGUUGAACUCCUGAACUGCUUUAUAGGUGCUAUAAAGGUAACCAGAAUAUAAAAAAUAAUUAAUACAAAUUGUUUAGUUGGAUUGAACUUUUGAUUGAAAUGAAAUAAAAACCAGUUUGUGAAAUCGAUGUAAAUAGUUGAAGAAGACAAUUAGAACAGUCCUCCCAUUUACCGUUUUGAGAUCAAAACUGACAUCCAACGAAUAUCAUUUCUUUCUUCAUAUUCACUUAAUGUGCAUUGAAAUUAUUUAGAUACGCAUUAUGUCCCUCCAUUUACCUUCCUGUAUCUUAACAUUCAUUGAAUAAAACAACUGGAAGAAAACUGUAAAAAUAUUCAUCUUCAGUCAAGUGCAAUGAAUCUAUCAUAUGUACAGUGAUCAUAACUAAAUAGUUGACAAAAUAAUUCAUGAUAAUAUUGUUCAAAUAAUUAAAUAAAUCAAAGACAUAUUGAAAAAUUAAAAGGUAAUGAAUCCGUUAAAUAUGAUUAAAUAAUUAAUUACAUAUUGAAAAAUGAAAAGUAAGAUAAUAAAUGUGUCAAAUGUACCUUAAUCAUAAUUAAAUAGUUGAUAAAAUAAUUAAAGAUAAUAUUGUUCAAAUGAUUAAUAAAUUUACAUACAUAUUGAAAAUGAAAAGUAGGGUAUUAUUGAAAUAAUAAAUACAUAUUAAAAACGAAAAGUAAGGUGUUAUUGAAAUAAUAGGAUUAUAGUAAGGAUAUAAUUGUCCAAAAAAUAUUCUCAAUUGAUGUGAUAAUUAAUAUAUUAUAGAUUUAAUUGGGUUACUAAUUGUAGGAUCAAGUGAGGAGAAUGUUGAGAUUAUCGGACGAAGAGAAUCAGAGGAUAAGAAAUUUUCAAGAAGUCCAUGAGGAAGCAAAAAACAGGGGGUUCGGAAGGGUUUUCAGGUCGCCAACGUUGUUUGAGGACAUGAUCAAAUGCAUUCUCCUUUGCAAUUGCCAGUGAGUGAGUUUUAUCUUUUGUUCAAGAAUAUGGUCGACCUUUGCUAAUAAUGCCUUUGCCUAACUAUUCUAUAUUGGUUAUAGUUCCCAAAUGAAAAGAAGGAAACUUGUGAAUUAGGGAAAUCAAGUUCUAUAACUUUCAGUGCAGAAAAUAUUGAAUUAAGUAUGCAGGGUUAAAAAAAUAUACCGGGCCGUUUGGUCUUGGGUACCUGUAUAUUUUUGUUUUCAACCAUGAUCUAUGAACUUCAGACUACUAAAAUCUCAAUGUAAAUAAGUUGGUGGUAACAUAUUUUGGUUUUUGUUUCGUAUAAUUAUGCCAAACUUUUCAUCCAGAAAUGAUGAAUGAGACCAAUCUUCCACUUUUAGGUUACAAGAUUCUACUUUUGGUUUCUUAUCAUUCCGAUACAAGUAUAAUUAUCAUUUUCUCCUCUGCGGGAAGAUAAAAAACUGUGAUCUUGGAAAAUGUACUGCCUAGUACGAUCUGGUGUUGUGUACGAAAUAUUCCUGAUUUGUGUAGUUUGCAUUUGUUGUCGUCAACAUGGUUGCCAUUUAGUAAACCCUGAUCUGCAAUGAUUGUCCCUCUGAAAAUUGGUGUCAAACGUAGAAGUCUAAGUAAGAAGUUAAUCGAAAGUAUUUAGUCUCUACUUUUGUAUCCGUUGAGCUUCUCUUUUGCAGGUGGUCAAGGACAUUGAGUAUGGCUAAAGCACUUUGUGAACUUCAGUUGGAACUACAGCUUUCCUUGUCUGAUGAAUCUCUUGCGAACGCUGCUAAUGAAAUUAUUUCCGGGUGUCAAACAGUUGAAACCAAUCAGUUCGUUCCGAAAACACCUGCAGGGAAAGAGUCAAAGAAAAACCCCGGAGUUCACGAAUGUUCAAUUAACUUAGCAAACAGAUAUGCAGAGGUUAAAGAAAUGGAAAAAUAUGCUAACUUGGAAGAAAGUUGUGUCCAAAUGUCAGACUGCUUCCCGGUAACCUGGAAUCUUAGUUCAUGUUUGGUUAAGCUUAAACAUUACCUUUCUGAGAAGCAUUUUUUUUUUCUUUUUGUUAAUAAAAAGUAACUUCUAAGAUUUUGUUUAGUUCAAAAAAAAGAAGCAUAGAGUUAGUUUUACUUAUUUUUAAGCUUAGCCUAAAAUAGGAUUUAGAGGAGGAUUUUUUAAGCAUCAUGAUUAGUAUCAAACAUCCUAUUGCUAUAAAGCUGACUGCUGUUGUUUUCCUGAUUUUCAGCCUUUAGAAGGGAAAGGAGUUUCCUCCUACACUAAAAUUGGAAAUUUCCCGAGCCCAAGAGAACUGGCUUCCCUUAACGAGAAGCUUUUAGCAAAACGGUGCCAUCUAGGCUAUAGAGCAGGUCGUAUAUUGAAGCUUGCUCAAGAAAUAGUUGAGGGUAGGAUUCGACUAAGAGAACUUGAAGAUGUCGUAGGUACUCUAAGCUUGUCUGAGUAUGAUAAGUUGGCGGAGAAGCUGAAAAAUAUAGAUGGAUUUGGACCGUUUACUUGUGCUAAUGUUCUGAUGUGCAUGGGAUUUUACCAUGUCAUUCCAACUGAUUCAGAAACUAUUAGGCAUCUAGAACAGGUCUAUUUCCUUUCUAUGAAAUCAACCUUUUACCAUUUAGUUCAUUCAUUCGCAUCUUCCUAAGAUCUGCUUUAAGUCCUCUGUAUAUAAUUAGGUUCAUGCCAAAAGCUCAAAAAUUCGGACAGUUCAAAGAGAUGUUGAAGUGAUUUAUGGGAAAUACGCACCAUUUCAGUUUCUAGCUUAUUGGUAAGUUGUUUUAAAUUUCUCUGUUUCAAGCCUCUUCUUCCACAGUUUGGACUCAGGUUUAAGUUUUCUAGCCGGGCUUUCUUUUGAACAGGUCAGAAGUGUGGCAGUUCUAUGAGGAAUGGUUUGGCAAGCUAAGUGAGAUGCCCCCUUCUGGUUAUAAACUUAUUACUGCUGCUAAUAUGAGGCCAAAAAGAAAUGGAGAUAAUAAGAGGAUUAAGGUAUCAUUGGAAAACAUUUAGUGAUAAAAACAAAGGGAAGUAUGAUUUAUGUUCUUUUGUAUCAGUGCAUACCUACUAUUUAUAUAUUGUAAACAAAAUUUGGUGUGAUAAUUGUUAUUUUUCUCUUAGUAAUCUUUUUUGAGGUUAUUAUGUUUCAUGUUUGAAAAUGUUGUUGAGGGUAUAUUUAUGAUCAACCGAUUUCCUCCCUUCUAUCUGUAAAUGAUGUUUGUAUCUUUAUUCAAAAUGAAAAAACAGGGAAUCUCCGUUGAUAAUCUGUCUAACAUUUUCUCCUUGCAACUACCAUUUUGCCAAUAUCAAACUUUCUGAAAUAAAGUAGCAUCAAUCAAUGGUCAUCACUCAAGAAAGUAGCAUUCAUCAAUGUGAUUUGAUUUGUUUAUGUUCACAUCUAUAUGGUGCAGAUGUGAAUUCCAAACUCGAGUCAUUGAAAAUCUAGUAAAUUCG
Molecule: long non-coding RNA, 4228 nt
Filed under: Olea europaea subsp. europaea
Lineage: Eukaryota; Viridiplantae; Streptophyta; Magnoliopsida; Lamiales; Oleaceae
Source: RNAcentral